AUUGAACGCUGGCGGCAUGCCUUACACAUGCAAGUCGAACGGCAGCACGGGUGCUAGCACCUGGUGGCGAGUGGCGAACGGGUGAGUAAUACAUCGGAACAUGUCCUGUAGUGGGGGAUAGCCCGGCGAAAGCCGGAUUAAUACCGCAUACGAUCUACGGAUGAAAGCGGGGGACCUUCGGGCCUCGCGCUAUAGGGUUGGCCGAUGGCUGAUUAGCUAGUUGGUGGGGUAAAGGCCUACCAAGGCGACGAUCAGUAGAUGGUCUGAGAGGACGACCAGCCACACUGGGACUGAGACACGGCCCAGACUCCUACGGGAGGCAGCAGUGGGGAAUUUUGGACAAUGGGCGAAAGCCUGAUCCAGCAAUGCCGCGUGUGUGAAGAAGGCCUUCGGGUUGUAAAGCACUUUUGUCCGGAAAGAAAUCCUUGGCUCUAAUACAGUCGGGGGAUGACGGUACCGGAAGAAUAAGCACCGGCUAACUACGUG
This 486-nucleotide ribosomal RNA is filed under the name uncultured bacterium. Its description in RNAcentral is "partial 16S ribosomal RNA". It matches the Rfam family "Bacterial small subunit ribosomal RNA", at positions 30 to 507 of the family's 1533-position model. The record is from RNAcentral.